ACUCCUACGGGAGGCAGCAGUGGGGAAUUUUGGACAAUGGGCGAAAGCCUGAUCCAGCAAUGCCGCGUGUGUGAAGAAGGCCUUCGGGUUGUAAAGCACUUUUGUCCGGAAAGAAAUCCUUGGCUCUAAUACAGUCGGGGGAUGACGGUACCGGAAGAAUAAGCACCGGCUAACUACGUGCCAGCAGCCGCGGUAAUACGUAGGGUGCGAGCGUUAAUCGGAAUUACUGGGCGUAAAGCGUGCGCAGGCGGUUUGCUAAGACCGAUGUGAAAUCCCCGGGCUCAACCUGGGAACUGUAUUGGUGACUGGCAGGCUAGAGUAUGGCAGAGGGGGGUAGAAUUCCACGUGUAGCAGUGAAAUGCGUAGAGAUGUGGAGGAAUACCGAUGGCGAAGGCAGCCCCCUGGGCCAAUACUGACGCUCAUGCACGAAAGCGUGGGGAGCAAACAGGAUUAGAUACCCCGGUAGUCCCAUGA
This 474-nucleotide ribosomal RNA is filed under the name uncultured organism. Its description in RNAcentral is "partial 16S ribosomal RNA". It matches the Rfam family "Bacterial small subunit ribosomal RNA", at positions 335 to 800 of the family's 1533-position model. The record is from RNAcentral.